Molecule: ribosomal RNA, 497 nt
Filed under: uncultured bacterium
Lineage: Bacteria
Description: partial 16S ribosomal RNA
Rfam family: Bacterial small subunit ribosomal RNA
Source: RNAcentral
GAUGAACGCUGGCGGCGUGCCUAAUACAUGCCAGUCGAGCGAACAGACGAGGCGCUUGCUCCUCUGACGUUAGCGGCGGACGGGUGAGUAACACGUGGAUAACCUACCUAUAAGAAUGGGAUAACUUCGGGAAACCGGAGAUAAUACCGGACAAUAUAUUGAACCGCAUGGUUCAAUAGUGAAAGACGGUCUUGCUGUCCCUUAUAGAUGGAUCCGCGCCGCAUUAGCUAGUUGGUAAGGUAACGGCUUACCAAGGCAACGAUGCGUAGCCGACCUGAGAGGGUGAUCGGCCACACUGGAACUGAGACACGGUCCAGACUCCUACGGUAGGCAGCAGUAGGGAAUCUUCCGCAAUGGGCGAAAGCCUGACGGAGCAACGCCGCGUGAGUGAUGAAGGUCUUCGGAUCGUAAAACUCUGUUAUUAGGGAAGAACAAAUGUGUAAGUAACUAUUCACGUCUUGACGUUACCUAAUCAGAAAGCCACGGCUAACUACGUG